This 726-nucleotide ribosomal RNA is filed under the name Paenarthrobacter nitroguajacolicus. Its description in RNAcentral is "bacterial SSU rRNA". It matches the Rfam family "Bacterial small subunit ribosomal RNA", at positions 78 to 818 of the family's 1533-position model. The record is from RNAcentral. Lineage: Bacteria; Bacillati; Actinomycetota; Actinomycetes; Micrococcales; Micrococcaceae.
GCUUGCUGGGGGAUUAGUGGCGAACGGGUGAGUAACACGUGAGUAACCUGCCCUUGACUCUGGGAUAAGCCUGGGAAACUGGGUCUAAUACCGGAUACGACCAUCUGGCGCAUGUCAUGGUGGUGGAAAGCUUUUGUGGUUUUGGAUGGACUCGCGGCCUAUCAGCUUGUUGGUGGGGUAAUGGCCUACCAAGGCGACGACGGGUAGCCGGCCUGAGAGGGUGACCGGCCACACUGGGACUGAGACACGGCCCAGACUCCUACGGGAGGCAGCAGUGGGGAAUAUUGCACAAUGGGCGCAAGCCUGAUGCAGCGACGCCGCGUGAGGGAUGACGGCCUUCGGGUUGUAAACCUCUUUCAGUAGGGAAGAAGCGAAAGUGACGGUACCUGCAGAAGAAGCGCCGGCUAACUACGUGCCAGCAGCCGCGGUAAUACGUAGGGCGCAAGCGUUAUCCGGAAUUAUUGGGCGUAAAGAGCUCGUAGGCGGUUUGUCGCGUCUGCUGUGAAAGACCGGGGCUCAACUCCGGUUCUGCAGUGGGUACGGGCAGACUAGAGUGCAGUAGGGGAGACUGGAAUUCCUGGUGUAGCGGUGAAAUGCGCAGAUAUCAGGAGGAACACCGAUGGCGAAGGCAGGUCUCUGGGCUGUAACUGACGCUGAGGAGCGAAAGCAUGGGGAGCGAACAGGAUUAGAUACCCUGGUAGUCCAUGCCGUAAACGUUGGGCACUA